This 496-nucleotide ribosomal RNA is filed under the name uncultured bacterium. RNAcentral's name for it is "partial 16S ribosomal RNA". It matches the Rfam family "Bacterial small subunit ribosomal RNA", at positions 28 to 506 of the family's 1533-position model. The record is from RNAcentral.
GACGAACGCUGGCGGCGUGCCUAAUACAUGCAAGUUGAGCGAUGAAGAUUGGUGCUUGCACCAAUUUGAAGAGCAGCGAACGGGUGGGUAACGCGUGGGGAAUCUGCCUUUGAGCGGGGGACAACAUUUGGAAACGAAUGCUAAUACCGCAUAACAACUUUAAACAUAAGUUUUAAGUUUGAAAGAUGCAAUUGCAUCACUCAAAGAUGAUCCCGUGUUGUAUUAGCUAGUUGGUGAGGUAAAGGCUCACCAAGGCGAUGAUACAUAGCCGACCUGAGAGGGUAAUCGGCCACAUUGGGACUGAGACACGGCCCAAACUCCUACGGGAGGCAGCAGUAGGGAAUCUUCGGCAAGGGACGAAAGUCUGACCGGGCAAAGCGGGGUGAGUGAAGAAGGUUUUCGGAUCGUAAAACUCUGUUGGUAGAGAAGAACGUUGGUGAGAGUGGAAAGCUCAUCAAGGGACGGUAACAACCCAGAAAGGGACGGCUAACUACGU